This 231-nucleotide long non-coding RNA is filed under the name Mytilus galloprovincialis (Mediterranean mussel). The record is from RNAcentral. Lineage: Eukaryota; Metazoa; Mollusca; Bivalvia; Mytilida; Mytilidae.
CAGUGUACACUGUAAGAUCUUCUGACUGAAACUACUGAACCAAUUUUAUUCGAACUUUAUUUGAAUGUUUCUAUGUUAUCGUAGAGAAUAUAGAUUGUGUUUGAAGGGCAUUGAGGACUUAGUAAAAAAAUCAAAUAAUAAAGUCUUCCCAAAUAGGACUAUUUUAAACCGUCUGUGCCAAGAGCUAGAAAAUUCUUAGUAUUUUGAAUAAUUCAAAAGUUUUUAAAACAG